AAUAGCCCAGAGAAAUUUGGAUUAAUACCCCGUAACAUAACGAUGUGGCAUCACAUUGUUAUUAUAGCUUCGGCGCUUCUUGAUGGGUGUGCGGCUGAUUAGAUAGUUGGCGGGGUAACGGCCCACCAAGUCUACGAUCAGUAGCUGAUGUGAGAGCAUGAUCAGCCACACGGGCACUGAGACACGGGCCCGACUCCUACGGGAGGCAGCAGUAAGGAAUAUUGGUCAAUGGACGCAAGUCUGAACCAGCCAUGCCGCGUGAAGGAUUAAGGUCCUCUGGAUUGUAAACUUCUUUUAUCUGGGACGAAAAAAGGCGGUUCUUCGUCACUUGACGGUACCAGAUGAAUAAGCACCGGCUAACUCCGUGCCAGCAGCCGCGGUAAUACGGAGGGCGCAAGCGUUAUCCGGAUUCACUGGGUUUAAAGGGUGCGUAGGCGGGCAGGUAAGUCAGUGGUGAAAUCCUAGAGCUUAACUCUAGAACUGCCAUUGACGCUAUCUGUCUUGAAUAUUGUGGAGGUAAGCGGAAUAUGUCAUGUAGCGGUGAAAUGCUUAGAUAUGACAUAGAACACCUAUUGCGAAGGCAGCUUACUACGCAUAUAUUGACGCUGAGGCACGAAAGCGUGGGGAUCAAACAGGAUUAGAUACCCUGGUAGUCCACGCCCUAAACGAUGAUUACUCGACAUUUGUGAUACACUAUAAGUGUCUGAGCGAAAGCAUUAAGUAAUCCACCUGGGAAGUACGACCGCAAGGUUGAAACUCAAAGGAAUUGACGG
RNAcentral lists this ribosomal RNA (773 nucleotides) under uncultured bacterium. Its description in RNAcentral is "bacterial SSU rRNA". It matches the Rfam family "Bacterial small subunit ribosomal RNA", at positions 142 to 916 of the family's 1533-position model. The record is from RNAcentral.